Acinonyx jubatus (cheetah) is the source of this 1341-nucleotide long non-coding RNA. RefSeq lists it as uncharacterized. The record is from RefSeq and is a predicted model, not a curated record. The transcript is spliced from 6 exons. Lineage: Eukaryota; Metazoa; Chordata; Mammalia; Carnivora; Felidae.
ACACUGUUCCUUCUGGAAAGCUCUUAUUAAAUCCCUAAUCUUCACUCAGCAUUGGUUAAAUACUCCUCUUAAGUAACAGGCUCUGCUUAUAUGCUAUCAAAAUGGUUUCACUUUCUCUUCUAGACUCUUGAGGUUCCAGAGAACAAAGGCCUCAGCCAUGUGUCUCCUUGACUCCCCAUCACCUUUCCCAGAUCCAUAUGGUAGCACUCAGAAAAAGUUUUUUGAAUUAAUAGGUGAAUGAACGGAUUCUUUUACUCGUGUGGCCUUCUCUCUUUGAUUUCCUCUCGCCAGGCUCCACUUACAUUCUGCUUGUAAGAAUCAAGCACGGAAUGUGGAAACCAAUGGAUAUCAGGCAGGUGAGACCACUCCUUCACCCUAGAGUAGACAUCAUAGCCUCGUGGCAAUCUGCUAAAAUAAUCAUAUUGACAGUGACACCUGGGUGGGAAAGUUUCUUCCAUCAUAGGAGCUUUAGACAAGCUUUCCCUUGAGCAAGGGCAUGAGAACAGAACAGACAAGCUGCUGGAGCCUGUGCAGACUUCCCUGAAGGAAGUCUGACAAGCUGGAGUGUAGGUAAGGGUCCACCGCGUGACUCUGCCUGUAGGGGUUUAAAUAAGAACCUGGGAGGACUGUGCAUUUCUAAAUGAUUGGGUGAGAGCGGCUGAGAGAUGCUUUGAAAAGGAAGAGGAACACUUCUCUAGCUGUCCUCUGGGCCAUGGCCUCCAAACCACCUUGUAGGUCUUGGAUUAAAGAAUCCUGUCAGAUACCCAUUAUCCAUGAACACCAUGACUGAGCUGGCCACCAGAGUAGAGCUCUCCCGUACGAGGUCUACACCUUUGCAGAAAAAUGUGUGUCAUUCAGAUUUUUUGCCUGAGUUGGGCAGUCACAAAAGAGAAUUACAAAGAGCUGGACCCACCCGGCACUUGGCUUUAGCGCUGUUUACAACACAACGAGAAGUGAAGCGUUGAGAGACAAUUUUCUGAAUAAUUCGAGAGUUGCGCGUUGGCAUACAUUCUGCCUGGGAAUUCUAGAAGGGAUUUAAAAAAAAAAGAAAUUAAAGGGUAACAUUGAUCCAGUGUCAAAGCCAUACGUAUGCAUGGCGCCAUGGUGAAUGCUCAGAUGUAUUAAUGCUAGAAAAUAGGAUUCAAAGCAGUUUGAGAAAGUAUUUGAGAUGUGAGUAACAUCUACAACAGAGGGAAACACCAAAAUAUGAGUGGGCCUCAUCCAGUCCAUCGAAGGCAAGAGAGCAAAAACAAGUUUCUCAGACAAGAAGGAAUUCUACUUCAAAUCCCACCUGCGUUUCUAGCCUGCCAGCCUGCCCUACCAAUUUCAGACUUGCCACCC